Molecule: long non-coding RNA, 1017 nt
Filed under: Calidris pugnax (ruff)
Lineage: Eukaryota; Metazoa; Chordata; Aves; Charadriiformes; Scolopacidae
Description: lncRNA (ENSCPUG00000004944.1)
Source: RNAcentral
AUGCUCUCUCAAACAGAGCACAGCUCUCCCCCAGCACAGCUGCCUGCCCACCCCUCGCCACUGUUUCUCCUCAAGCUCCUCUCCAAACACGCCUGCACACCUGGGCCGGCUUUCACGAUGAAUUUUUUGCCCGGUGCAGGUUUUUGGGAAGGCGGAUACCCCUCGCCGGGCCGCCGCUCCCCACACCCGCCUGCUCCCCGGCCCCUCAGGGCCCCGCGGAACCCCGGGGGAGGAGGAGAAGGCCUCCAGGAGUGGUGGCUCUUCCAGGGGCAGGGCAGCCCGAGGUGGGAGGGGGCAUCCCAUCCCACCCCACCCCAUCCCGGCACACACAAAGCCAGCGCUACCGAGUUGGAGACAGGGGAAGGAGGAAGGGAAGGGGGGUCGCCAUUUUGCCCCCUCGCUCCCUCCGGCACCGAACAAAGGGGCGGGGGCAGCAUCCUCCACCCUGGGCAUCCCUCACUCACACACACACACCGGUCCCGGUCAGCCGGUCCCGCCGCCGUCCCCGCUGCCCCCUCCCGGCCGCCGGCACCGCAACUCACCGCCCGCCGCCGCCGCCGUCAGAGCGGGAGGUUUCGGGUUACACCGCCCCCGGACCCCCCACAGCCGCCGCCAGAGAGGCCCCGAACCGCCGCCCGACCCUCCCCCGCCAUAGCCAUGCCCCCGCCGGCCCGGCCCGCCCCGCCGCCUCACCCCUCAUCGCCGGCCUCGCCACCCGCCAUUUUCUCUGCCGCCACCGCCCCCCGGCCGGGCGAGGGGGAGGCGCGGAGCCCCCAGGACAGCCCGUCCCGGAUCUGGUCUCGCUGUGAGCGGGCUGAAGAGCGAGGGAGGGAAGAAGAAGGGGCGGCACCGCCUCCCACCCCAGGGAGCAGCCGGUGCUCUGCGGGUCUCCCCGCAGCCCUCCUCCGCCGGGAGCUCGCUGGGAAGGAGGGCUCCGGUUUUUAUACAGAUGAGGUGAAGCGACUGGGCCCAGCGCAAGGCGGUCGCAGAGAGUGGCAGAUCCUCACGGCUUCCUAG